RNAcentral lists this transfer RNA (72 nucleotides) under Balaenoptera acutorostrata scammoni. Its description in RNAcentral is "tRNA-Sup (TCA) (tRNA-Sup-TCA-14-1)". It matches the Rfam family "tRNA". Rfam says of the family: Transfer RNA (tRNA) molecules are approximately 80 nucleotides in length. The record is from RNAcentral. Lineage: Eukaryota; Metazoa; Chordata; Mammalia; Artiodactyla; Balaenopteridae.
UCCUUGGUGGUCCAGUGGUUAGGACUGGGAGCUUUCACUGCUGGGGCCCAGGUUCAAUCCCUGGUCAGGGAA